This 254-nucleotide ribosomal RNA is filed under the name uncultured bacterium. RNAcentral's name for it is "partial 16S ribosomal RNA". It matches the Rfam family "Bacterial small subunit ribosomal RNA", at positions 524 to 776 of the family's 1533-position model. The record is from RNAcentral.
UACGUAGGCAGCAAGCGUUGUUCGGAGUUACUGGGCGUAAAGGGUGUGUAGGCGGUUGCUUAAGUUUGGUGUGAAAUCUCCCGGCUCAACUGGGAGGGUGCGCCCGAAUACUGAGUGACUCGAGUGCGGGAGAGGAAAGUGGAAUUCCUGGUGUAGCGGUGAAAUGCGUAGAUAUCAGGAGGAACACCGGUGGUGUAGACGGCUUUCUGGACCGUAACUGACGCUGAAACACGAAAGCGUGGGUAGCAAACAGG